Molecule: ribosomal RNA, 295 nt
Filed under: uncultured bacterium
Lineage: Bacteria
Description: partial 16S ribosomal RNA
Rfam family: Bacterial small subunit ribosomal RNA
Source: RNAcentral
AUUGAACGCUGGCGGCAUGCCUUACACAUGCAAGUCGAACGUGAAAGGGGGGCAACCCCGACGUAGAGUGGCGGACGGGUGAGCAACACAUCGGAACGUACCCAGUAGUGGGGGACGAACCUCGAGAAAUCGAGGCUAAUACCGCAUACGACCCACGGGUGAAAGCGGGGGACCGCAAGGCCUCGCGCUAUUGGAGCGGCCGAUGUCCGAUUAGCUUGUUGGUGGGGUAACGGCCCACCAAGGCGACGAUCGGUAGCUGGUCUGAGAGGAUGAUCAGCCACACUGGGACUGAGAC